GGCGAACGGGUGAGUAACACGUGAGUAACCUGCCCUUGACUUUGGGAUAACUUCAGGAAACUGGGGCUAAUACCGGAUAGGAGCUCCUGCUGCAUGGUGGGGGUUGGGAAAGUUUCGGCGGUUGGGGAUGGACUCGCGGCUUAUCAGCUUGUUGGUGGGGUAGUGGCUUACCAAGGCUUUGACGGGUAGCCGGCCUGAGAGGGUGACCGACCACAUUGGGACUGAGAUACGGCCCAG
This 237-nucleotide ribosomal RNA is filed under the name uncultured Actinomycetales bacterium. RNAcentral describes it as "partial 16S ribosomal RNA". It matches the Rfam family "Bacterial small subunit ribosomal RNA", at positions 97 to 334 of the family's 1533-position model. Lineage: Bacteria; Bacillati; Actinomycetota; Actinomycetes; Actinomycetales. The record is from RNAcentral.